RNAcentral lists this ribosomal RNA (605 nucleotides) under uncultured bacterium. RNAcentral's name for it is "bacterial SSU rRNA". It matches the Rfam family "Bacterial small subunit ribosomal RNA", at positions 108 to 689 of the family's 1533-position model. The record is from RNAcentral.
GCGUAACACGUGGAUAAUCUGCCUUCAGGCUUGGAAUAACCUUCCGAAAGGAGGGCUAAUGCCGAAUGAGCUCACGGGGACCUCGGUCCCUGCGGGAAAAGGUGGCCUCUAUUUAUAAGCUAUCACCUGAAGAUGAGUCCGCGGCCCAUCAGCUAGUUGGCGGGGUAAUGGCCCACCAAGGCUACGACGGGUAGCUGGUCUGAGAGGACGAUCAGCCACACUGGGACUGAGACACGGCCCAGACUCCUACGGGAGGCAGCAGUGGGGAAUCUUGCGCAAUGGGCGAAAGCCUGACGCAGCAACGCCGCGUGAGUGAUGAAGGUCUUUGGAUCGUAAAGCUCUUUCGGCUGGGAAGAAACGCCUCGUGGCUAAUAUCCACGGGGUUUGACGGUACCAGCAGAAGAAGCACCGGCUAACUCUGUGCCAGCAGCCGCGGUAAUACAGAGGGUGCAAGCGUUGUUCGGAAUUAUUGGGCGUAAAGCGCGCGCAGGCGGGAUUGCAAGUCGGAUGUGAAAGCCCUCGGCUCAACCGGGGAAGUGCGUUCGAAACUGCAGUUCUUGAGUGUCGGAGAGGGUGGCGGAAUUCCCGGUGUAGAGGUGAAAUUC